This 366-nucleotide ribosomal RNA is filed under the name uncultured bacterium. RNAcentral's name for it is "partial 16S ribosomal RNA". It matches the Rfam family "Bacterial small subunit ribosomal RNA", at positions 338 to 701 of the family's 1533-position model. The record is from RNAcentral.
CCUACGGGAGGCAGCAGUGAGGAAUAUUGGUCAAUGGCCGUAAGGCUGAACCAGCCAAGUCGCGUGAAGGAAGAAGGAUCUAUGGUUUGUAAACUUCGUUUAUAGGGGAAUAAAGGUAUCCACGUGUGGAUAUUUGCAUGUACCCUAUGAAUAAGCAUAGGCUAACGCCGUGCCAGCAGCCGCGGUAAUACGGAGGCUGCGAGCGUUAUCCGGAUUGAUUGGGUUUAAAGGGUGCGGAGGUUGCUUUUUAAGUCAGCGGUGAAAGUUUGUGGCUCAACCCUAAAAUUGCCGUUGAAACUGGCAGUCUUGAGUUUGUUUGAGGUAGGCGGAAUUCGUGGUGUAGCGGUGAAAUGCUUAGAUAUCACG